This 2931-nucleotide ribosomal RNA is filed under the name Escherichia coli. RNAcentral's name for it is "bacterial LSU rRNA". It matches the Rfam family "Bacterial large subunit ribosomal RNA". Lineage: Bacteria; Pseudomonadati; Pseudomonadota; Gammaproteobacteria; Enterobacterales; Enterobacteriaceae. The record is from RNAcentral.
GGGUUGUGAGGUUAAGCGACUAAGCGUACACGGUGGAUGCCCUGGCAGUCAGAGGCGAUGAAGGACGUGCUAAUCUGCGAUAAGCGUCGGUAAGGUGAUAUGAACCGUUAUAACCGGCGAUUUCCGAAUGGGGAAACCCAGUGUGUUUCGACACACUAUCAUUAACUGAAUCCAUAGGUUAAUGAGGCGAACCGGGGGAACUGAAACAUCUAAGUACCCCGAGGAAAAGAAAUCAACCGAGAUUCCCCAGUAGCGGCGAGCGAACGGGGAGCAGCCCAGAGCCUGAAUCAGUGUGUGUGUUAGUGGAAGCGUCUGGAAAGGCGCGCGAUACAGGGUGACAGCCCCGUACACAAAAAUGCACAUGCUGUGAGCUCGAUGAGUAGGGCGGGACACGUGGUAUCCUGUCUGAAUAUGGGGGGACCAUCCUCCAAGGCUAAAUACUCCUGACUGACCGAUAGUGAACCAGUACCGUGAGGGAAAGGCGAAAAGAACCCCGGCGAGGGGAGUGAAAAAGAACCUGAAACCGUGUACGUACAAGCAGUGGGAGCACAGAGCAAUCUGUGUGACUGCGUACCUUUUGUAUAAUGGGUCAGCGACUUAUAUUCUGUAGCAAGGUUAACCGAAUAGGGGAGCCGAAGGGAAACCGAGUCUUAACUGGGCGUUAAGUUGCAGGGUAUAGACCCGAAACCCGGUGAUCUAGCCAUGGGCAGGUUGAAGGUUGGGUAACACUAACUGGAGGACCGAACCGACUAAUGUUGAAAAAUUAGCGGAUGACUUGUGGCUGGGGGUGAAAGGCCAAUCAAACCGGGAGAUAGCUGGUUCUCCCCGAAAGCUAUUUAGGUAGCGCCUCGUGAAUUCAUCUCCGGGGGUAGAGCACUGUUUCGGCAAGGGGGUCAUCCCGACUUACCAACCCGAUGCAAACUGCGAAUACCGGAGAAUGUUAUCACGGGAGACACACGGCGGGUGCUAACGUCCGUCGUGAAGAGGGAAACAACCCAGACCGCCAGCUAAGGUCCCAAAGUCAUGGUUAAGUGGGAAACGAUGUGGGAAGGCCCAGACAGCCAGGAUGUUGGCUUAGAAGCAGCCAUCAUUUAAAGAAAGCGUAAUAGCUCACUGGUCGAGUCGGCCUGCGCGGAAGAUGUAACGGGGCUAAACCAUGCACCGAAGCUGCGGCAGCGACGCUUAUGCGUUGUUGGGUAGGGGAGCGUUCUGUAAGCCUGCGAAGGUGUGCUGUGAGGCAUGCUGGAGGUAUCAGAAGUGCGAAUGCUGACAUAAGUAACGAUAAAGCGGGUGAAAAGCCCGCUCGCCGGAAGACCAAGGGUUCCUGUCCAACGUUAAUCGGGGCAGGGUGAGUCGACCCCUAAGGCGAGGCCGAAAGGCGUAGUCGAUGGGAAACAGGUUAAUAUUCCUGUACUUGGUGUUACUGCGAAGGGGGACGGAGAAGGCUAUGUUGGCCGGGCGACGGUUGUCCCGGUUUAAGCGUGUAGGCUGGUUUUCCAGGCAAAUCCGGAAAAUCAAGGCUGAGGCGUGAUGACGAGGCACUACGGUGCUGAAGCAACAAAUGCCCUGCUUCCAGGAAAAGCCUCUAAGCAUCAGGUAACAUCAAAUCGUACCCCAAACCGACACAGGUGGUCAGGUAGAGAAUACCAAGGCGCUUGAGAGAACUCGGGUGAAGGAACUAGGCAAAAUGGUGCCGUAACUUCGGGAGAAGGCACGCUGAUAUGUAGGUGAAGCGACUUGCUCGUGGAGCUGAAAUCAGUCGAAGAUACCAGCUGGCUGCAACUGUUUAUUAAAAACACAGCACUGUGCAAACACGAAAGUGGACGUAUACGGUGUGACGCCUGCCCGGUGCCGGAAGGUUAAUUGAUGGGGUUAGCGCAAGCGAAGCUCUUGAUCGAAGCCCCGGUAAACGGCGGCCGUAACUAUAACGGUCCUAAGGUAGCGAAAUUCCUUGUCGGGUAAGUUCCGACCUGCACGAAUGGCGUAAUGAUGGCCAGGCUGUCUCCACCCGAGACUCAGUGAAAUUGAACUCGCUGUGAAGAUGCAGUGUACCCGCGGCAAGACGGAAAGACCCCGUGAACCUUUACUAUAGCUUGACACUGAACAUUGAGCCUUGAUGUGUAGGAUAGGUGGGAGGCUUUGAAGUGUGGACGCCAGUCUGCAUGGAGCCGACCUUGAAAUACCACCCUUUAAUGUUUGAUGUUCUAACGUUGACCCGUAAUCCGGGUUGCGGACAGUGUCUGGUGGGUAGUUUGACUGGGGCGGUCUCCUCCUAAAGAGUAACGGAGGAGCACGAAGGUUGGCUAAUCCUGGUCGGACAUCAGGAGGUUAGUGCAAUGGCAUAAGCCAGCUUGACUGCGAGCGUGACGGCGCGAGCAGGUGCGAAAGCAGGUCAUAGUGAUCCGGUGGUUCUGAAUGGAAGGGCCAUCGCUCAACGGAUAAAAGGUACUCCGGGGAUAACAGGCUGAUACCGCCCAAGAGUUCAUAUCGACGGCGGUGUUUGGCACCUCGAUGUCGGCUCAUCACAUCCUGGGGCUGAAGUAGGUCCCAAGGGUAUGGCUGUUCGCCAUUUAAAGUGGUACGCGAGCUGGGUUUAGAACGUCGUGAGACAGUUCGGUCCCUAUCUGCCGUGGGCGCUGGAGAACUGAGGGGGGCUGCUCCUAGUACGAGAGGACCGGAGUGGACGCAUCACUGGUGUUCGGGUUGUCAUGCCAAUGGCACUGCCCGGUAGCUAAAUGCGGAAGAGAUAAGUGCUGAAAGCAUCUAAGCACGAAACUUGCCCCGAGAUGAGUUCUCCCUGACUCCUUGAGAGUCCUGAAGGAACGUUGAAGACGACGACGUUGAUAGGCCGGGUGUGUAAGCGCAGCGAUGCGUUGAGCUAACCGGUACUAAUGAACCGUGAGGCUUAACCUUACAACGCCGAAGGUGUUU